GUGGCAUUGUUAGAUGCUUAGACAGGUACUGGAAGGUUUAGGUGGGGAAGCACUCUGAAAGGCUGGAUUUACUCUGAUUCAAAGGAAGUAUACAGAUGGGGUUCUUAGCUCAUGAAAGUUAGUAGGAGAGAGUAAGAAGAAAGAAGCAGUUCACGCCUUUGUAUGACCUGAACUGGAGAACCCACAUCAAAGUAGGGAUUUGUGGGGCCCCCGCUACUACUAUGGUUCAGCUGCAAAGAGUGCACCUGUGAUACCAGCUCCUAGCAAUCCAACACCAAUAAUCUUGAUUCUGCAAAUUUUCACUUCCAAGAAGUUUACAAAACACAUCUGUAAUAUUUAAAGGU
This 344-nucleotide long non-coding RNA is filed under the name Homo sapiens (human). RNAcentral describes it as "HSALNT0125653". The record is from RNAcentral. Lineage: Eukaryota; Metazoa; Chordata; Mammalia; Primates; Hominidae.